RNAcentral lists this ribosomal RNA (498 nucleotides) under Triticum aestivum (bread wheat). RNAcentral's name for it is "partial small subunit ribosomal RNA". The record is from RNAcentral. Lineage: Eukaryota; Viridiplantae; Streptophyta; Magnoliopsida; Poales; Poaceae.
AUGACCAUAGAUAACUUGCUGAAAAGGCACAUUGACAAAGGCAGUGACUGUCUGUUAUGUGUCUGUGAUGAAAGCAUUCCUCGUUUGUUCCUUUAUUGUGUUGUCUCCUCCAAUAUAUGGCCCGUUGUGCAGGAUUUCUUUGGAACACCAGUAGGCACCAGUUAUGAGUCAAUAGCAAGACCGUGGGUUGCCAACAAGAAACAUCUAAUUUUAAACAUUGUCUAUGUUGUUGUUCUUUGGUGUAUCUGGAAACAUAGAAACUUCAUGAUUUUUGACAAUCUGUCUUGGAUUGAUAUCAAACAGGUCUGGUGGAGAAUGUUGAGAACUCUCACGUCAUGGAUGGUCCUGUUACCAACACAAGUGAAGGAACUGAUAGAGACCUUUAUUGCUUUCCUAGUGGAAUUCCUCAAGUCGCCACUGUUGAUUCAGGGUGGCCGAAGGCUGCCUGGCCUAGCAACGGCCGGUCCCAGAGAAUUCCCCUCCUUUUGUAGGCAAUGA